Long non-coding RNA from Fopius arisanus, 308 nucleotides. RefSeq lists it as uncharacterized. The transcript has 3 exons. Lineage: Eukaryota; Metazoa; Arthropoda; Insecta; Hymenoptera; Braconidae. The record is from RefSeq and is a predicted model, not a curated record.
GUGAUCCUUCCCUUUUGGUUUUCCACAAGAUUUCAACUUCUGCUUCAUCUCCUUGAGGUCCACGUGCCUUUCCUUCGCCAAAUCCUCAAGCCAGAUACUCAGUUGGGAGAAGGGCAGAUGUUUGACACCCAUUGCGUCAGAAACGGGGUCCAAAUGACAAUAAGCUGGAGGGAAAAUUUUGGGGUCACAGUGGAUUGAAUGAAGAACAAGGGGCGAUUUGAGGUAAAGUGCAGUGGAUGGUGUUGAAAUACCGUUAAGAAAUUACCUCGACCAGAGUUUUUGUAGCCGCCGUCAGAGCCCGUGUUUAC